Long non-coding RNA from Vidua macroura (Pin-tailed whydah), 862 nucleotides. RefSeq lists it as uncharacterized. Lineage: Eukaryota; Metazoa; Chordata; Aves; Passeriformes; Viduidae. The record is from RefSeq and is a predicted model, not a curated record. The transcript is spliced from 2 exons.
CUGUAAUGAAGACUGGGUUCAUUGCUGAUUGUAUCUCUAGACUUCAUAGAGUAGUGGUUUGAAAGGACUAUACCAGCAGAAUUUGUAAUUUACGUAUUUUUGACUGUUUUAUUAAGCCAAAGCCAAGACUCCUUUUGGAUUAGCUAGACAACACUUGUUUUCGGUCUUUGUAUGAUCACAAAAUCAUAGAAUGAUUGAGGCUAGGAGAAAUGUCCAACCCCCAUGCUCAAGCAGUGUUGCCCAAGACCACGUUCAGGUGGCUUUUUAAUAUAUUAUUUUUUGAUACAGAGAUUCCAAAACCUCUCUUUGACAAUCUCUUCCAGUGCUCAGUAAAACUUUUCAUGAUGCUUUUUUCCUGAUUCCCUACCCAGGACUGUGGAGUACAUCCUAGGCUCUCAGCUGCCUCAUCAUCCAUCCCCAGGCACAGCUCCAUGUACACAAGCUGUUCUGUCACAAAGGGCAAAUUCUUCUCCUCGUCUUCUAAGCCUGUCCUUCCUAAGAGCUUGCAUCCCUCUGUUGGAGCACUCCAGCCAUGACAGCCAUUCCACCAUGUCUCUGUGAUCCCAAAAAGAUCACAGCCUGUGAUGUCAGGCAGAUCUCUAGCUCCUCAUGGUUAUUCCCAAUGCUGCAUGCACGUGUGCAGGCACUGCUGAGGGGCACACUGGUGUCCUGCUGGGUUUUCCCAUCACAGUGCCCUGUAGGCACUCCUUGCUUCUGCAUGGAAGAGCAGUUGCUUGUAAGCAAUUAAGAUCAGUUCUGCAGAAUUGCUUGUGCCUCCUGGAAAAACAUGAACAAAACCAAGUCAGGCUUAUUUUAAGAAUGUAUGAUUGGGACAGAAAAUUCUAAUCUGUCCUCAAAUAUU